GUCUUUAACUUUCGUUCAUGUUCAGGCCAUUCCGGCCUGUUGCUCAUCGUGGCGUGCGUGCAUAUGGGCGCGAGUGCAUGAUUGGGCACCCGCGUGCGUGCGUGCUGUGUGUGUGUAUGUGCGUGUGCGUGUGUGUAUGUGCGUGUGUGUGCGCUUGCACAUGCGCAAUUGGGUCGAUCGUGGGCAGUUGGUCGCUUCAAAAGUCGAUCUUUGGGCA
Molecule: long non-coding RNA, 217 nt
Organism: Hippocampus comes (tiger tail seahorse)
Lineage: Eukaryota; Metazoa; Chordata; Actinopteri; Syngnathiformes; Syngnathidae
Exons: 2
Source: RefSeq, a predicted model, not a curated record